This 253-nucleotide ribosomal RNA is filed under the name uncultured bacterium. RNAcentral's name for it is "partial 16S ribosomal RNA". It matches the Rfam family "Bacterial small subunit ribosomal RNA", at positions 524 to 776 of the family's 1533-position model. The record is from RNAcentral.
GACAGAGGGAGCGAGCGUUGUCCGGAGUCACUGGGCGUAAAGCGCGCGCAGGCGGCAACCUUAGUGUCGUGUGAAAGCCCACGGCUCAACCGGGGGAGGCCAUGGCAAACUGGGUCGCUCGAGCUGCGGAGAGGCCCCUCGAAUUGCCGGUGUAGCGGUGAAAUGCGUAGAGAUCGGCAGGAAGACCAAGGGGGAAGCCAGGGGGCUGGCCGCAUGCUGACGCUGAGGCGCGACAGCGUGGGGAGCAAACCGG